UACGGAGGGGGCAAGCGUUGUUCGGAGUUACUGGGCGUAAAGCGUGCGCAGGCGGCUUUGUAAGUCCGAGGUGGAAUUCCACAGCUUAACUGUGGAACUGCCUCGGAAACUGCAAGGCUUGAGUCAGGUAGAGGGAGGCGGAAUUCCCGGUGUAGCGGUGAAAUGCGUAGAUAUCGGGAGGAAUACCAGUGGCGAAGGCGCCCUUCUGGACGGUUACUGACGCUGAGACGCGAAAGCGUGGGGAGCAAACAGG
Molecule: ribosomal RNA, 253 nt
Filed under: uncultured microorganism
Description: partial 16S ribosomal RNA
Rfam family: Bacterial small subunit ribosomal RNA
Source: RNAcentral